This 200-nucleotide long non-coding RNA is filed under the name Lathyrus oleraceus (garden pea). Its description in RNAcentral is "Pisum sativum (pea) long non-coding RNA (PSAT_LNC018564)". Lineage: Eukaryota; Viridiplantae; Streptophyta; Magnoliopsida; Fabales; Fabaceae. The record is from RNAcentral.
UGGAUUACCAACAGGAGUGGUUACGGCAGCAGCAUAAGGAUGAUAACGAUCUUUACUGCGUUCUUUCUUUGCUGGCACACUGCUUGACUCAACCUCUUUCUCGAGCAGGCCACUGCCAGAGAGUUUCUUUGCUACAGAGUCAGAGGGGUUUGUCACUUCGGAUGAUGGAGCUUUUCCCUGAACUUUCUCCUUGAUCAGCC